Small nucleolar RNA from Diospyros lotus (date-plum), 72 nucleotides. RefSeq annotates it as small nucleolar RNA Z105. NCBI's taxonomy places the organism in Eukaryota, Viridiplantae, Streptophyta, Magnoliopsida, Ericales, Ebenaceae. The transcript has a single exon. The record is from RefSeq and is a predicted model, not a curated record.
CAAGCAUAGUGAUGAUAAGCGUAAUAUUCUGAUUCUUCUCGUGAAAGGAUAACAACCUCCUACUCAUUCUGA